UACGGAGGAUGCGAGCGUUAUCCGGAUUUAUUGGGUUUAAAGGGUGCGCAGGCGGAUUUUUAAGUCAGCGGUCAAAUCGUGGGGCUCAACCCCAUCCAGCCGUUGAAACUGGGGAUCUAGAGUGUGCGAGAGGUAUGCGGAAUGCGUGGUGUAGCGGUGAAAUGCAUAGAUAUCACGCAGAACCCCGAUUGCGAAGGCAGCAUACCGGUGCACAACUGACGCUCAGGCGCGAAAGCGUGGGUAUCGAACAGG
RNAcentral lists this ribosomal RNA (252 nucleotides) under uncultured bacterium. Its description in RNAcentral is "partial 16S ribosomal RNA". It matches the Rfam family "Bacterial small subunit ribosomal RNA", at positions 524 to 776 of the family's 1533-position model. The record is from RNAcentral.